UACGUAGGGGGCCAGCGUUGCUCGGAAUUACUGGGCGUAAAGCGCACGUAGGCGGCUCUUUAAGUCGGGGGUGAAAUCCUGGAGCUCAACUCCAGAACUGCCUUCGAUACUGGAGAGCUCGAGUCCGGGAGAGGUGAGUGGAACUGCGAGUGUAGAGGUGAAAUUCGUAGAUAUUCGCAAGAACACCAGUGGCGAAGGCGGCUCACUGGCCCGGUACUGACGCUGAGGUGCG
RNAcentral lists this ribosomal RNA (232 nucleotides) under uncultured prokaryote. RNAcentral's name for it is "partial 16S ribosomal RNA". It matches the Rfam family "Bacterial small subunit ribosomal RNA", at positions 524 to 755 of the family's 1533-position model. The record is from RNAcentral.